GACCCUAUCAAACUUUACUUUAGUUUAACUGGGGCAGUUAAUUAAUAAAAAUUUUAAUAAAGAUUAAGUACUAAAUAGANNNCCCAACANUAGUUGAUUACANUGAACAAGUUACUGUAGGGAUAACAGCGUAAUAUAUAUCUAAAGUUCUUAUUUUGAUAUAAGUUUGCGACCUCGAUGUUGAAUUNAUAUUACUUUCAAGCGCAAGAGCCUGAAAAGUGGGUCUGUUCGACCCCUAAAUAUAUACAUGAUUUGAGUUCAAAUCGGUGUAAACCAGAUUGGUUUCUAUCUAUUNUUAUUUGUGUCUUAGUACGAAAGGACCUGAAACAAUAUUAUAUAAUNAUUUAUAUGGCAGAAAAAUGCUUUAGAUUUAGGAUCUAAUUAUAAUAGAUUAUUAUACUCUAUUUAACUUGCCUAAUCUCUGUUAUUAGAAUCCUUAUUGCAGUAGCUUUUUAUACCCUCCUAGAACGAAAAAUUCUAAGCUACAUCCA
This 491-nucleotide ribosomal RNA is filed under the name Sancus acoreensis. Its description in RNAcentral is "partial 16S ribosomal RNA". The stretch from base 1 to 290 matches the Rfam family "Bacterial large subunit ribosomal RNA", at positions 2087 to 2642 of the family's 2925-position model. Lineage: Eukaryota; Metazoa; Arthropoda; Arachnida; Araneae; Tetragnathidae. The record is from RNAcentral.